RNAcentral lists this ribosomal RNA (325 nucleotides) under uncultured eukaryote. RNAcentral describes it as "partial 18S ribosomal RNA". It matches the Rfam family "Eukaryotic small subunit ribosomal RNA", at positions 1470 to 1796 of the family's 1831-position model. The record is from RNAcentral.
CCCUUAGAUGUUCUGGGCCGCACGCGCGCUACACUGAUGCAUUCAACAAGUUUUACCUUGGCCGAGAGGCCUGGGAAAUCUUUCAAAUAUGUAUCGUGAUAGGGAUAGAUUAUUGCAAUUAUUAAUCUUGAACGAGGAAUUCCUAGUAAAUGCAGGUCAUCAUUCUGCGUUGAUUACGUCCCUGCCCUUUGUACACACCGCCCGUCGCACCUACCGAUUGAAUGAUCCGGUGAAGCCUCGGGAUUGUGCCCAGAGAACUUUAUUGUGAUUUGGGUGUGAGAACUUGUCUAAACCUUAUCAUUUAGAGGAAGGUGAAGUCGUAACA